RNAcentral lists this long non-coding RNA (1418 nucleotides) under Homo sapiens (human). RNAcentral describes it as "long independently transcribed non-coding RNA 3007, transcript variant 11 (LINC03007)". Lineage: Eukaryota; Metazoa; Chordata; Mammalia; Primates; Hominidae. The record is from RNAcentral.
AGUUCUUCAGGGCUGUCUCUGUGAUCCAGGCUUUGAUCUGGGAAAGGUUGCGCCUCAUUGCAGAGUUGAAGCUAUCUGCCUGCUUUGUUUACACGAACGCCCUUCCAGGACUCUGUCUGCUUUUGGGGUGGAAGUGCCCUGCCAAAAACUCCAGCUCUCCAUGCUGGCUGUGUGGCCAGCAUACCUCCUGCCUUUUCAACGAUUCCUCUGCCCUGGAUAGAGAGCGGUGUCUCAUAACAGUUUGGAAACUACAAAAGUUUCCCUGGCAGGAUGAAUGAUUGACUCGGCAACAUGUUCUUGCCUUUUGGAGUUGCCCUCCAAUUUUUCCAGGCUUGAUUCUGUAAAUCAUUUCAUCUUGUAAAAAUACUGGGCUGUGAGCACGGAUGAUCUCAAAGAUGAGGAAACAGAAGCUGGGAUAUGUGAGUAAACAUUUCCAAGGUCCUGCAGCUAAUCAAUGGUUGACAACUUCUUUCCUCUGCCUAUGUUGCCAUCCAUGUCAUGGUUUGUGUCAAGACUCUAGGAGAAGUCUACCAUCAGCACCACAGCUACUGUGCACAAAUCCAGAAUGCCAGACUGAAGUCAGAAGGAAAGAGAUGAUGCAGCUCAUUGCUGAUGCUGAGAUCCAACGUCCAGUGCCUGAGUACCCCUGGAUUCUGAGCACUAGGGGCUGGACUGUGGAGACCAUCAGUUCAUAACAUCCUGUCCCUGCUCCCUGCUGUAGAUGACUGAGACCAGAAAGAAGAUUGGAAAAAUCUCCCAUGACCAAGGAAAAUUGUGAAAAAUAUUUCUGAUAUUUUGUCUAUGCAUUUUAUUUUUGAGGGUGUUUUUUAUAUUAGUGUGACUAUUUUGUAUUUCCUACCCUGUUGUAAACUUUUUAAAAAUUGCUCUUACAGUUAUUACUAAGUAUAUGAUUUAAAAUCCCUAAUUAGGGUUCUUAAACAAGGGAGAAGCACUCUCAUACCCCUAGAACAAGAUGAACAAAAGAAGGAGGAAAAAUCUUGACCUCCGUAAGAUCCAGGAUGGCACGUGCAAGGCACUGACACAGCAUCUGCCGGCAUCACUGACUCUCCUGGACCCCAGAAGCCCAGUUCCCCAGGCUCUGAAACCCUGCAGCAAUGAAAAGGAAGCACAGGCAAACCAUAAGGAAGAUAAUUUUUCUACUAAAAAAUAAAUAGAAAUGCAUCCUUAGAGGCAGGUUUCAUGAGGACACAGAGAAUCCGGUUUUGUGUGUGCCUGAUUUCGUUUUUCUGUCAAAGAGAUACAAAACAAUCAACUGAGUUAUCUUGAACUUACAAAGAUUAAAAAUAAUCAAUUCCUGUUACUAUUUUCAAUUUUUCCCCCAUUUUACUUCUUUAGGUAUGAAGAAAUGUAGCCUAUUAAAACCUGGAUUAAUAAAAACCUUUCAUUAACUUUUAGAA